This 251-nucleotide ribosomal RNA is filed under the name uncultured bacterium. RNAcentral's name for it is "partial 16S ribosomal RNA". It matches the Rfam family "Bacterial small subunit ribosomal RNA", at positions 525 to 775 of the family's 1533-position model. The record is from RNAcentral.
ACGUAGGGGGCAAGCGUUAUCCGGAUUUACUGGGUGUAAAGGGAGCGUAGACGGUGUGGCAAGUCUGAUGUGAAAGGCAUGGGCUCAACCUGUGGACUGCAUUGGAAACUGUCAUGCUUGAGUGCCGGAGGGGUAAGCGGAAUUCCUAGUGUAGCGGUGAAAUGCGUAGAUAUUAGGAGGAACACCAGUGGCGAAGGCGGCUUACUGGACGGUAACUGACGUUGAGGCUCGAAAGCGUGGGGAGCAAACAG